GGAGAAAGAUGGAGAGAGGAUACAGCUCAAAGUCCAAUCUCUUGGCCUGUGACCGCUUCAAAGGCCCACACACGGCCGAAAGAAUCUGAUGAUGGAGUACAUGAUGAAGAUCACAAUGAUGACCCAGAGCUCUGGAAUGACCUAACCCUGGAAGACCAGCAGACAGUGGAUGCUGCUAUUGCAAAAAAAACAGCGCUCGCAGUGUUUUGCCCACACUCUCCAGCUGGUUGUGGGAGAUGGCUUGAAAGAAACAAAAGUGAUGACUCCUUCUCUUUCAAAGUUAUCGAAAAUCAGCUCACUGCUGCAUACAAGCACAACAUUCAAAUUUGGGGAAAGAGGCAUGCCUACUGCUGUCAACACAAGAUGGAACUCAACACUGAGUAAAGUGAAGGCAGUAAUCCAAUGUGGCCAUCUAAAGCUCUGUCAUGUUCUAGAAAAGGCUGGGCACAAGGAGUUGUUGUUCACAGUACGGGAGUGGAAUAAGGAGUUGGUGGACAUCCUGAAGCCAUUUGGAGCAACAGAUAUGACACAGGGGGAGAAGAUAGUCACAAUCAGUUCUGUUGUUCCCUCUGUCCUGUCCCUAAAUCACCACCUGGAGCAGCAGAAGAAUCAAGUCCAUUUCCUGAGCGGCCUGGUCAGAAGUCUCCAUGCAUCCCUGAACAAAAUAUUUAUUGGAAUCUUCAUCAAUGUGAAAAUGGCCAAGACAAGAUGGAAUCACUGCCCCCUUUUCAGAUCCAGUCUACCUCAAAGCAGCUGCCUUUGAUCCGGCUUUUUCUCUGAUGUGGGUGGAGCAGGUGUGCUGGUCAAGGAGGAGGUGGCACAAAGAGUGAAAGAACUGAUUCUGCAAGAUGCUGCAGGGACUGAGCAAGCUGUGCCUCUUGUUGAUGAGGAAGAGCGAGAGGACCAUAGUCCUGGACAAGAAGAAGAGCUGUUUGCAGCAUACUGUCCCCAAAGCACACACAUCCCUGGGUCGCUCGUCUUUUCAGUUCGACGCAGCUAGCGACUGGAACGAGCUGCAACAAGCGCUUAAACUGGACAGUUUUAUCUCCAUCUCUUCAUUCAAAGACUUAACCAUGGACGACACUCUUACUGACAGUUGUGGCUGUUUUGCGUGAUGUAUUGUUCUCUCUACCUUCUUGCCCUUUGUGCUGUUGUCUGUGCCCAAUAAUGUUUGUACCCUGUUUUGUGCUGCUACCAUGUUGUGCUGCUGCCAUGUUGUAUUGCUACCAUGCUGUGUUGUCAUGUGUUACUGCCAUGCUAUGUUGUUGUCUUAGGUAUCUCUUUAUCUAGUGUUGUGUUGUCUCUCUUGUUGUGAUGUGUGUUUUAUCCUAUAUUUUUAAUCUCAGCCCCCGCAGGAGGCCUUUUGCAUUUUGGUAGGCUGUCAUUGUAAAUAAGAAUUUGGUCUUAACUG
Long non-coding RNA from Oncorhynchus tshawytscha (Chinook salmon), 1411 nucleotides. Lineage: Eukaryota; Metazoa; Chordata; Actinopteri; Salmoniformes; Salmonidae. The record is from Ensembl.